Molecule: ribosomal RNA, 389 nt
Filed under: uncultured bacterium
Lineage: Bacteria
Description: bacterial SSU rRNA
Rfam family: Bacterial small subunit ribosomal RNA
Source: RNAcentral
GACGAACGCUGGCGGCGUGCUUAACACAUGCAAGUCGAACGGUGACGAGGAGCUUGCUCCUCUGAUCAGUGGCGAACGGGUGAGUAACACGUGAGCAACCUGCCCCAGACUCUGGGAUAACAGUUGGAAACAGCUGCUAAUACCGGAUACGAGACGGAGAGGCAUCUCUACCGUCUGGAAAGUUUUUCGGUCUGGGAUGGACUCGCGGCCUAUCAGCUAGUUGGUGAGGUAAUGGCUCACCAAGGCGACGACGGGUAGCCGGCCUGAGAGGGCGACCGGCCACACUGGGACUGAGACACGGCCCAGACUCCUACGGGAGGCAGCAGUGGGGAAUAUUGCACAAUGGGCGAAAGCCUGAUGCAGCGACGCCGCGUGAGGGAUGACGGCCU